RNAcentral lists this ribosomal RNA (435 nucleotides) under Botryosphaeriales sp. 1 IP-2014. Its description in RNAcentral is "eukaryotic LSU rRNA". The stretch from base 109 to 262 matches the Rfam family "5.8S ribosomal RNA". Lineage: Eukaryota; Fungi; Ascomycota; Dothideomycetes; Botryosphaeriales. The record is from RNAcentral.
UUCACGGGUGCCGCCGUCGGCCUCCGCGCUCUCGAGUGCCCGCCGCAGGACUAUUUAAACUCUUUGUCAAACAAGUAUAAUCUGAGUGGAAUUUAAUGCUUCAAUUAAAACCUUUAACAACGGAUCUCUUGGUUCUGGCAUCGAUGAAGAACGCAGCGAAAUGCGAUAAGUAAUGUGAAUUGCAGAAUUCAGUGAAUCAUCGAAUCUUUGAACGCACAUUGCGCUCCCUGGUAUUCCGGGGAGCAUGCCUGUUCGAGCGUCAUUAUCAACCAUCAAGCCCUGCUUGGUAUUGGGUGCCGUCCCUGCUGUGGACGCUCCCUAAAGUAAUCGGCGGUGGUGUUGAACCUCAAGCGUAGUAAAUCUCCAGCUUUCUAGGUGAGACGCCGCUCGGCCUCGAGAACCCAUCACCUCAAGGUUGACCUCGGAUCAGGUAGG